Bombus pyrosoma is the source of this 3038-nucleotide long non-coding RNA. RefSeq lists it as uncharacterized. Lineage: Eukaryota; Metazoa; Arthropoda; Insecta; Hymenoptera; Apidae. The record is from RefSeq and is a predicted model, not a curated record. The transcript has 2 exons.
UGACAAUGCAUAUAACAUGUAACUACAGCUACAGUUUAUCUAUACUCUAUACCAACUAUAGGAAUCUAGACACAUUGGUUGACUUUUGGUAUCAAUAUGUGAAUUCUGUAAAACUGUAUAAAUUAAUGCUAUAAUAAUUUAUCUAUACCAUCCAGAAGAAUCCAGGUACUUUGAUUGACUGCAAAAUAUAGCAAGACCACAGCUGGAAAACAUGAUAAGUCACAUUUCCUGUCUUUCAUUGAACAGUACGUUUAAAAUUCAAUAUCUUGUCAAACAAUUCUAAGUCAGAACUAUAUAUAUAUAUAUAUACACACAUAUAUAUAUAUUCAUUUGAUUUUAGAAUUAAAUAUAUAUUUUUGUCACUCAAAGCCAAACAAUCAGUAAAAAUGGACUUAUCAUAUUUUUCCUACAUGAUCUUCAUAUAAAUUGAUUGCAAAUGAAUAAUUAGAAAUAGUUAUAAAUAUAUAUAGAUAUAUUCAGUAGAAUAAUUAUAAAUUAAAAUUAUAUAUUAGCUUCAACAAUAAUAUUUUACUAUUUACUAUACACAUUAUUUACUGUUUAAAUAUCACUGCUUGCAUUCCAGUAGGAACUCUUUUCUAUUAAUUUAGAAAAAUCUUGUUAAUCUGACUUAUAAUUUAAAAAUUGAAGAAUCUGAAUAUCUUAAAUGUCUUAUGUAUUUUUAUGUAUUAUGUUUUGCAUUUUCCAUAAAUGUAGAAACAUCUAUCUAAUCAUAAAUAACAAAAUAACCGUAGAAAGUUUACAUAUAAGUUUCUAAAAAUUAAUUCGAUCGUUAUAUUACGCUUAAGUUAAUAAGUUAAUCUUAAGUAAGCUUAAGUUCAUGUACCUAUAAUGAUUACAAGUAAUCUUUUGCCCAGAAAUAUAAGUGUCAAUAGUAGCAAUAUCAUAAUAAUGAAAUAAUAGCAAAAUUAAUGUUACAAUUGUGUUACUCAUGAAAUAUUUAAAUAGUAACAAAUUCAAAAUAAAGAUUUCUUAUUCCACUUUUUCCAAGAAUAAGAACAAAUUGAUGAGAUAUAAUAUGACAAAAGUAUUUCACAAAUCAUUAUAUUUAUUCAUAUAUAUGAUUUAGAGGAUUACAAACCAUGGUAGCAAUAAGUCAAUUGAAGAAUCUAUAUUUCUUUUAAUUGGAAGCAUUAAACCAUUUAUCACUUGAUCCGGCCAAUGGCUAGUGUUUCGUUUGCACAUCAUUCGAUGAUAUCUCCUCUUUUUCUUAUUUUUGUUAAGCGCUUAACUAAUAUAUAUCUUGUGCUUCGUGGGUAACCAUAACACGCUUCUUCGUUAUUAUUAUUGUUAUUAUUAUUACAUUGAAAGUAAUGUUAUGAAAAAUAAAUCUUAAAUUUCUGCUAAAUUCGUUUUCGUAAUCGUUUUGAAUGGCUACGAAAGAACGUAAUGUACAAGAUUUAAAUAGAGUACUAUGUACUACGAUAAUCGAUAUUCAUUUAAGGUAUAAAAAUUAGUUAUGGUAUUCAGGCCGCUUAGAAUCCAAUCAAAUUAAUGGGUAUCGAGCACCAAAAUCGGUUGUUGUAAAGCAUAUUUUGUAGAAUCUACCUACAAAGUUUCUUAUUUUAAACGAGUAAUAAAAUGUGUUAUCAUCUUGUUUCGUUUUUCUCUUCGUAAAUGUUCUAAUACAUUCCAAAACGAGAUUUCAAUCUUAUAUAAUGUUCUUUGUUAUCAAAAAACGCAUAAAAAAUUAUAGUACAUUAUAUAUGUAGAUAUGAUAAUACAUUAUGACGCCGUUACUGACGUAAUGCAGUUUUUUUUUUACAGUUAUCAAUUAAAUGCUAAUCCCUCACUUUAUAAAUCCGAGAGAACGAUGUAACCAAACAUCAACAUCGUUUACACAUUUUGUUCUGGUAUUUUCUACUACAGAAAAAUCCGUAAACAUUAAACACGAUGAUCAGCUUAUUCGAGCAACUCUGUAGACAGAUUCUCGCUUCAACAUCGAAAAUACAUCAUUCGAUACGUACAGAAAAAGUAGCUUAUAAAUUAUUCUUCGAAUACACGCUUUUCUUGUAAUACAAUACAAUUGCUAAUAGUAUAAUCAUAUAUAUACGGUAUAUAUAUACAUUCAAUAUAUAUAUAUACACAAUAUAUAUAUGCGUUUGUGUGUAUGCAUAGUCGAAAUGUAAUAUUCGCAGUAGGAAUUUUCUAACAUUUCGACCAUGUGUGUAUAUUCGCUAUAGUAAAUAUAGAUAAAAUUGUAAUGCCAAAUAGUAUGGCCUGUGAACACUUGGGUAGUUUGAAGUUUCUCGGUGAGCGGCCAACAAGUCACUCUAAACACUUAUUCUUUACACUAUCUCUUUCAAAUCUUUACUAUUGUGUAUCGUGUGUACGUCAAAACCAAUAUAUUAGCUUUCGAUAAUAUAUAAAUAUUUCCAUAACAAAUAGAUAUUUAAAUAAAUUGCAGUACAAUGUCACACUGAAUAGCAUAUAAACAUGAGCAUUAAAUACGAAAUAUGUUUUGGUAGCGGAAAAUCAACAUUUCGCAGUAACAUUGUUACCAUGGUAACUUGCUUUUGUGUUACAUUUUUUCGUUAAUUACACAAAACUAUACAGGAGUUUACUUCCUCCCUUUUUUCUCUAAGGCAUUCAAGUGUUUAAAUUAAUUUUCAUAGAAUGAAGAAACAAGAGCUUCUACAAAUGGUAUUCGUAUGUUCAAAGUUUGGAAUAUAAGUUGCAGAGCUUCAAACUCACAUUUCUUUAGGAACUUUCAAUUGUACAAAUACAAUUCCGUUGCAGUAUUACAUAAACGUUUUUUUUCUAUGACUAUCGUGCAGAUGCGUUAUUGUUUACAUUAUUGCCAUGGAAACGUUAUUACUGCUGAAAAUAUUUUUGUAAAUGAACAAUCGGAUAUAGAAUUUUGAGCGGCGGAGCAGUUGUGGCAGCUGUGAACCUUCGUUAUUUAAAUCUAUCUGUCUUUUAUAUGUUCUUUCUUUCUUUCCUUUUUUUCUUGAAUUAAUUACACUUAAGCAUGCGUACACCGCAAUAUUAUUACACGCGCCAUGUACGGACUUUUAAAU